GUGUCCUCUCCAUAACCACUGAGCACACAAGGUCCUCACCAUGGGAUGGAGCUGGAUUAUCCUCUUCCUGGUGGCAGCAACUAUAGGUGUCCACUCCCAGGUCCAGCUGCAGCAGUCUGGUCCAGAGCUGAGGAAACCUGGGUCUUCAGUGAAGUUGUCCUGCAAGGCUUCAGGCUACAGCUUCACUGGCUACUAUAUGAACUGGGUGAUGCAGAAGUCUGGACAGGGCCUGGAGUGGAUUGGAAGAAUUGAUCCUGGAAAUGGUGGUACUAACUACAAUCAGAAGUUCAAGGCCAAGGCCAAACUGACUGCAGACAUAUCCUCCAGCACAGCCUACAUGGAGCUCAGCAGCCUGACAUCUGAGGACUCUGCGGUCUAUUACUGUGCAAGACACAGUGUUACAACCACAUCCUGA
Non-coding RNA from Peromyscus eremicus (cactus mouse), 415 nucleotides. The record is from the annotation of a RefSeq genome assembly. NCBI's taxonomy places the organism in Eukaryota, Metazoa, Chordata, Mammalia, Rodentia, Cricetidae.